UACAGAGGUGGCAAGCGUUGUUCGGAUUCAUUGGGCGUAAAGGGUGCGUAGGCGGCGCGGUAAGUCGGGUGUGAAAUCUCGGAGCUUAACUCCGAGACUGCAUUCGAUACUGCCGUGCUUGAGGACUGGAGAGGAGACUGGAAUUUACGGUGUAGCGGUGAAAUGCGUAGAUAUCGUAAGGAAGACCAGUGGCGAAGGCGGGUCUCUGGACAGUUCCUGACGCUGAGGCACGAAGGCCAGGGGAGCAAACGGG
This 253-nucleotide ribosomal RNA is filed under the name uncultured bacterium. RNAcentral describes it as "partial 16S ribosomal RNA". It matches the Rfam family "Bacterial small subunit ribosomal RNA", at positions 524 to 776 of the family's 1533-position model. The record is from RNAcentral.